UGACCUAUCUGUAAAUAUGCACGGGUAGGCCAAUAAAUAGGGAGUUAAUUUAACUCUCUGCAUAUUAAACGAAAGAGGAAAGUACCAUGGCACUAAGUGCAGAAGAAAAAGCAGUAAUUGUUAAAGACAAUCAAGUUGAA
Molecule: regulatory RNA element, 140 nt
Rfam family: Ribosomal S15 leader
About the family: The E. coli Ribosomal S15 gene 5' UTR can form two alternative structures. One that is a series of three hairpins, The other includes a pseudoknot.
Source: Rfam